GGAGGGGAGUGAAAUAGAACCUGAAACCCUACGCCUACAAGCAGUGGAAGCACAUUAUUAGUGUAACCACGUACUUUUUGUAGAACGGGCCAGCGAGUUAUGGUAUAGAGCAAGGUUAAUGACUUAAGGUCAGGAGCCGUAGGGAAACCAAGUCUUAAUAGGGCGAAAAGUUCUAUGCUAUAGACCCGAAACCGGGUGACCUAUCCAUGGGCAGAGUGAAGUUGAAGUAAAAUUCAAUGGAGGCUCGAACUCGUUAGCGUUUAAAAGCUAUGGGAUGACCUGUGGAUAGGGGUGAAAAGCCAAUCGAACUCGGAGAUAGCUGGUUCUCCUCGAAAUAGCUUUAGGGCUAGCCUCAAGUAAAGUGUAAUGGAGGUAGAGCACUGAAUGGUCUAGGGGCGCAUAGCGUUACCAAAACCUAUCAAACUCCGAAUGCCAUAAACAUAUACUUGGGAGUCAGACUAUGUGGGAUAAGCUUCAUAGUCGAAAGGGAAAGAGCCCAGACCACCAGCUAAGGUCCCUAAAUUCUGAUUAAGUGAUAAAGGAUGUGAGGUUUCACAGACAACCAGGAUGUUGGCUUAGAAGCAGCCAUACAUUUAAAGAGUGCGUAAUAGCUCACUGGUCGAGAGACCUUGCGCCGAAGAUUUCCGGGACUCAAAUCAGAUACCGAAGCUGUGGGAUUAGUGUAAACUAAUCGGUAGAGGAGCAUUGUGUAUGGGUAGAAGCUAUACCGAAAGGAGUGGUGGACUAUACACAAGAGAGAAUGCUGGCAUAAGUAGCGCAAGGUAUGUGAGAAUCAUACCCGUCGAAAGCCCAAGGUUUCCUGAGGAAGGCUCGUCCACUCAGGGUAAGUCGGGACCUAAGCCCAGGCUGAAAAGCGUAGGCGAUGGACAACAGGUUGAAAUUCCUGUACUAGUUACAAGCGUUUGAGAGAAGGAGUGACGCAGGAGGAUAGGCUGAGCGUGCCGUUGGUAGAGCACGUCUAAGCAUGUAGGGAGUUAAGAUAGGCAAAUCCGUCUUAACAAUCCUGAGAAGUGAUGGGGAUCGAAAAACAAGUAGAGAAGCAGCUGACUCCACACUGCCAAGAAAAGCUUCUAUCGAGCAAGUAACUACCCGUACCGCAAACCGACACAGGUAGGCGAGGAGAGAAUCCUAAGACGAGCGGAAGAACCAUUGUUAAGGAACUCGGCAAAAUAGCCCCGUAACUUAGGGAGAAGGGGUGCCGGUUGAAGUAUAGA
This 1235-nucleotide non-coding RNA is filed under the name Tissierella praeacuta DSM 18095. RNAcentral describes it as "Bacterial large subunit ribosomal RNA". It matches the Rfam family "Bacterial large subunit ribosomal RNA", at positions 530 to 1766 of the family's 2925-position model. The record is from Rfam by way of RNAcentral. Lineage: Bacteria; Bacillati; Bacillota; Tissierellia; Tissierellales; Tissierellaceae.